This 1506-nucleotide long non-coding RNA is filed under the name Macaca mulatta (Rhesus monkey). RNAcentral describes it as "lncRNA (ENSMMUG00000055142.1)". Lineage: Eukaryota; Metazoa; Chordata; Mammalia; Primates; Cercopithecidae. The record is from RNAcentral.
ACCGACUCCAGGAUUGUCUCCCAAAUCCCACUUCCGCCACUUCUUCCUCCCGAGACCGGCCAAGCGCGCCUGGUUGUCCGCCCUUCUUGGGCUCCUAGGGAGAACGUGGUCCGGGAACUGGCGGUCACUGGGAGGCAGCAUAAGAGGUUUUCGCGCUCCUCUGCUGGUGCAACUAUCGCGACCAUCACCCUGACAGCGGGAGGAAGGGUGCCGCAGGCAAAGGGUGGCGCACCUGCAGAUUCGGUUUCUUGCUCGGGGCUCUCGCGAGAGCCGGCGCUGGAGUGUGGACCGCGCAUGCCGGUGACGCGUGGUGGAGACACGUCGCCGGCGCCUCUCUCCCUAGGCCUUCCAGGGGGCUGGAGUGCAGCGGCGCUAUCUCGUCUCACUGCAACCUCCACCUCCCAGGUACAAGCGAUUCUCCUGCCUCAGCCUUCGGAGUAGCUGGGAUUACAGGCGCCCACCACCACGCCCAGACAGCUGACAUGAUGGGCUGUGACCUGAAGGUUAUUGAACAGUUGGAGUGUUCUGCAUUCAUGUGGAAGAGGCUAAAGGAUGUUUGAUGAAGCACUAUGGGCUGCCCUGGAAGAGGACUGAAGAAGCAGCUGCAGAACAAAGCCUUCCCGCUUCCUGAAAGAAAACUCCAUUGUGCUGCCUUUUCAAGCUGCUGUGAAUGCUUUGAAUUCAAACUAACUAUUGAGCCUAUGCUCAACCUGACCACACUGCCUAGGAGGGGGUAAGUAACCUGCCACCUGCCCUUUCCUGCAGAAUGCCUACAGAUGCUGUCCAUACUCAUGAAGCUGAUGUCAUAGGUAAAUCAAACUGUUUGGGACUGACUGUCCCAGGUAGUGCCUCUGAAACCAAGGACUGAACUGCCUUGGUGAGUUCAGUGAGAACCUAGAGUGAGAGGGCCCAUAGUAAAAGGCCGCAAAUUGUUGAUGGGAGACUUAUGCUUGUCCUAUGCGAUUCCACUGGAGAAGACUCUUGGAAUCUUGCAGACGUUAUUCCCCAUACUUUGCCCACAUGCCUUUUCCCUUUGCAGACUGUGUUUUGUAUCGUUUCAUUGUAAUAAAUCUUAGUUGUGAGUAUGCCUGUAUGCCGAGUAUUGUCAGUCCUUUCAGUGGAUAAUCAAACCUGGGAGCGGUCUUGGGGUCCUAAAUACAGAGGUGCACUUGGCUACUACAGCUGUGCAGCUUCAAAGAAAACUACUUAAAACUAUACACAGAAAAAGGAAUUUUUGCUUACUGGGCAGAGUUGUGAGUUAAGGUGCUUGCUCUAAAAGAGGCUUCCAAAAUGUACCUUGUUUUAUUUUCAUUGACUGAUGACAUUAACCAAUGAGUGGACAUUAUAGUCUGGUGGCUGGUUGCAGAAAAACUGGAUGAUCAAGUCUCAAGCUUUGUGGAGACAAACAUUAUGGCAACAAAUUACACAAGACCCAUGUCUUCCAUUCAUGACCCAUGUGAUGCCUGUGGAAAAAAGUCCUUUGAGAAUAAACAUCAAUGGAAUCAA